Molecule: ribosomal RNA, 260 nt
Filed under: uncultured Staphylococcus sp.
Lineage: Bacteria; Bacillati; Bacillota; Bacilli; Caryophanales; Staphylococcaceae
Description: partial 16S ribosomal RNA
Rfam family: Bacterial small subunit ribosomal RNA
Source: RNAcentral
ACGGGUGAGUAACACGUGGGUAACCUACCUAUAAGACUGGGAUAACUUCGGGAAACCGGAGCUAAUACCGGAUAAUAUUUCGAACCGCAUGGUUCGAUAGUGAAAGGUGGUUCUGCUAUCACUUAUAGGUGGACCCGCGCCGUAUUAGCUAGUUGGUAAGGUAACGGCUUACCAAGGCGACGAUACGUAGCCGACCUGAGAGGGUGAUCGGCCACACUGGAACUGAGACACGGUCCAGACUCCUACGGGAGGCAGCAGUC